Molecule: small RNA, 193 nt
Filed under: Chrysemys picta bellii (western painted turtle)
Lineage: Eukaryota; Metazoa; Chordata; Testudines; Emydidae
Description: TUC338 (ENSCPBG00000024300.1)
Source: RNAcentral
AUCACAGCCCUGGAGCCUGAACCCCUCUCCUUACCCACAAAACCAGUACCCACAAAACCAGUACAGCACAAGCAGAGAGUGUGAGAGCUUCCCCAAUCCACCUCAUCCUUGUGCCUCAUCCAUGACCUAGAGGGGUAACCUCUAGGCAUGAGUGGGUAACUCAGUCUCUGUGCUUAUUUAAUCCUUGGCCAAC